UACGUAGGUGACGAGCGUUAUUCGGAUUCACUGGGCGUAAAGGGUCCGCAGGGGGUUUGCCAAGUCCGGUGUGAAAUCCCGCGGCUCAACUGCGGAACGGCACUGGAAACUGGCGAGCUUGAGUGCAUGAUGGGAGAGCGGAAUUCCUGGUGUAGCGGUGGAAUGCGUAGAUAUCAGGAGGAACACCGACGGCGAAGGCGGCUCUCUGGCGUGCUACUGACCCUCAGGGACGAAAGCGUGGGUAGCAAACAGGAUUAGAUACCCUGGUAGUCCACGCUGUAAACGGUGCGCACUAGAUGUGGGCGGAGUCUGAUCCCGUCCGUGUCCAAGCUAACGCGUUAAGUGCGCCGCCUGGGGACUACGGCCGCAAGGCUAAA
This 377-nucleotide ribosomal RNA is filed under the name uncultured bacterium. Its description in RNAcentral is "bacterial SSU rRNA". It matches the Rfam family "Bacterial small subunit ribosomal RNA", at positions 524 to 898 of the family's 1533-position model. The record is from RNAcentral.